GAUGAACGCUGGCGGCGUGCCUAAUACAUGCAAGUCGAGCGAACAGAUGAGGAGCUUGCUCCUCUGACGUUAGCGGCGGACGGGUGAGUAACACGUGGAUAACCUACCUAUAAGACUGGGAUAACUUCGGGAAACCGGAGCUAAUACCGGAUAAUAUAUUGAACCGCAUGGUUCAAUAGUGAAAGACGGUUUUGCUGUCACUUAUAGAUGGAUCCGCGCCGCAUUAGCUAGUUGGUAAGGUAACGGCUUACCAAGGCAACGAUGCGUAGCCGACCCGCGAGGGUUGUUGGGCACACCGGAACUUGGGCACCGUCCAGAAUCCCACGGGGGGGAGGCGUAGGGAAACCUCCGGAAUGGGCCGAAGCCCGACGGAGCCACCGCGGGGGAGUGAAGAAGGGCUUCCGAUUGUAAAACCCUUGUAAUAGGGAAAAAAAAAAGGUGAAGGAACCAUGGACCGUCUGAAGGUACCUAAUCAGAAAGCCACGGCUAACUACGUG
Molecule: ribosomal RNA, 497 nt
Filed under: uncultured bacterium
Lineage: Bacteria
Description: partial 16S ribosomal RNA
Rfam family: Bacterial small subunit ribosomal RNA
Source: RNAcentral